RNAcentral lists this ribosomal RNA (477 nucleotides) under uncultured bacterium. RNAcentral describes it as "bacterial SSU rRNA". It matches the Rfam family "Bacterial small subunit ribosomal RNA", at positions 915 to 1391 of the family's 1533-position model. The record is from RNAcentral.
GGGGGCCCGCAAGCGGUGGAGCAUGUGGUUCAAUUCGACGCAACGCGAAGAACCUUACCUGGGCUCGAAAUGUAGUGGAAUGAGGUAGAAAUAUCUCCGCCCCGCAAGGGGCCGCUAUAUAGGUGCUGCAUGGCUGCCGUCAGCUCGUGUCGUGAGAUGUUGGGUUAAGUCCCGCAACGAGCGCAACCCUUAUCUUUAGUUGCCAUCAGGUCAAGCUGGGCACUCUAACGAAACCGCCUCGGAUAACGGGGAGGAAGGUGUGGGAUGACGUCAAGUCCUCAUGGCCUUUAUGUCCAGGGCUACACACGUGCUACAAUGGCCGGUACAAACCGUCGCAAACUCGCGAGAGGGAGCUAAUCGGAAAAAGCCGGCCUCAGUUCGGAUUGGAGUCUGCAACUCGACUCCAUGAAGCUGGAAUCGCUAGUAAUCGCGGGUCAAAACGCCGCGGUGAAUACGUUCCCGGGCCUUGUACACACC